GAUGAAGAACGUAGCGAAAUGCGAUAAGUAAUGUGAAUUGCAGAAUUCAGUGAAUCAUCGAGUCUUUGAACGCACAUUGCGCCCCCUGGUAUUCCGGGGGGCAUGCCUGUCCGAGCGUCAUUGCUGCCCUCAAGCACGGCUUGUGUGUUGGGCCCCGUCCCCUCCCCCGGGGACGGGCCCGAAAGGCAGCGGCGGCACCGCGUCCGAUCCUCGAGCGUAUGGGGCUUUGUCACCCGCUCUGUAGGCCCGGCCGGCGCCAGCCGACACCCAACUUUUAUUUCUAAGGUUGACCUCGGAUCAGGUAGGGAUACCCGCUGAACUUAAGCAUAUCAAUAAGCGGGGA
This 343-nucleotide unclassified non-coding RNA is filed under the name soil metagenome. RNAcentral describes it as "partial contains 5.8S ribosomal RNA, internal transcribed spacer 2, and large subunit ribosomal RNA". The stretch from base 1 to 120 matches the Rfam family "5.8S ribosomal RNA", at positions 35 to 154 of the family's 154-position model. The record is from RNAcentral.